Non-coding RNA from Paramuricea clavata, 520 nucleotides. The record is from the annotation of a GenBank genome assembly. Lineage: Eukaryota; Metazoa; Cnidaria; Anthozoa; Malacalcyonacea; Plexauridae.
UUUUUAUACAUUUUUGGUGUUAAAAAACAUACAUAUGCAUUAUAUUAUUCCACAUUUUGAGCAAAAUUUGUCGUCUUUGGCACCAGAACAAUCUGAUCACACAGUGAGCAAAACAUUUUGGUAAAUGUCCUCAUAGGCGUACCGGGCGGGGGGGGGGGGCGGUAGCCCCCCCAGUUUUUGGGGCAGUCGGGCAAUAUUCGAUGAACAGUCGGGCAAUUUUGGUUUGCAAUAAAAAAAAUGGGACAAAUUCUGUCAAUUUUGUCUAAAAUUAAGUCAAUUUUUUUUUUUGGGGGGGGGGAGGUCUCCAAGAUAAUUUUUCCGGAAAAAAAUUUUUGGUACUAGUCGGGCAGAAUCCCGAAAAGUCGGGCAAUUUUCUUUCCGCCCCCCUAAUUUUUUCCUUCCGGUACGCCCAUGAAUGUCCUUCAACAAACACUAGCUUCUCGCUAGCUUCACAGCGCUACAAGAAUGGCGGGAAUGCGCGAGAUCUCCAACCACGAGUUAUUUUAAAAUUAACUUUAUU